GGGCGAGUGGCGGAAUUGGCAGACGCGCAAGACUUAGGAUCUUGUCCCGAAAGGGGUGCGGGUUCGAGUCCCGCCUCGCCCACCA
Molecule: transfer RNA, 85 nt
Filed under: Kiritimatiellia bacterium
Lineage: Bacteria; Pseudomonadati; Kiritimatiellota; Kiritimatiellia
Description: Kiritimatiellae bacterium (wastewater metagenome) tRNA-Leu
Rfam family: tRNA
About the family: Transfer RNA (tRNA) molecules are approximately 80 nucleotides in length.
Source: RNAcentral